AACGAACGCUGGCGGCAGGCCUAACACAUGCAAGUCGAGCGGACAUCUUCGGAUGUUAGCGGCGGACGGGUGAGUAACGCGUGGGAACGUGCCCUUUGCUUCGGAAUAGCCUCGGGAAACUGGGAGUAAUACCGGAUGUACCCUUUGGGGGAAAGAUUUGUCGGCAAAGGAUCGGCCCGCGUUGGAUUAGGUAGUUGGUGGGGUAAUGGCCUACCAAGCCGACGAUCCAUAGCUGGUUUGAGAGGAUGAUCAGCCACACUGGGACUGAGACACGGCCCAGACUCCUACGGGAGGCAGCAGUGGGGAAUCUUAGACAAUGGGGGAAACCCUGAUCUAGCCAUGCCGCGUGAGCGAUGAAGGCCUUAGGGUUGUAAAGCUCUUUCACCGGGGAAGAUAAUGACGGUACCCGGAGAAGAAGCCCCGGCUAACUCCGUG
RNAcentral lists this ribosomal RNA (435 nucleotides) under uncultured bacterium. Its description in RNAcentral is "partial 16S ribosomal RNA". It matches the Rfam family "Bacterial small subunit ribosomal RNA", at positions 29 to 507 of the family's 1533-position model. The record is from RNAcentral.